Long non-coding RNA from Ahaetulla prasina, 2968 nucleotides. RefSeq lists it as uncharacterized. The record is from RefSeq and is a predicted model, not a curated record. Lineage: Eukaryota; Metazoa; Chordata; Lepidosauria; Squamata; Colubridae. The transcript has 4 exons.
UGCUGCUUCCUUGCGCUCUAGCGGCGGCCGGACGCCGUGGCGCUCCUUCAACGCCUGUGCUCAAUCUGUUCCUCCGGUUCUUGGUGCAACAGCAGCAACAGCUUCAUCUGCGCGCGUGCGUGUGCGUGGUGGACUAGGGAGAAGGCGAAGGAAAGGAAAAGGGGACCAGCGCUGGGAGCGCCGUAGCGCUCUCUCGCUCUUUCUCCCUCGCGCCGCGCGCGCCCGCGGCCUCACACAUACAUACGAGGGAAAAGCUGGGUCGAAGAAAAGGGGAGGCUGCGUUGGCGAUGAGGUCAUGGACAGCGCCUUGAAAUACUGCCGGUGGCUGCCGUGCCUUUACCGGGCUGGCAAAAAAGCGAGGAGGGGGCGUGGAAAACGGAUAUUAAGAAUCCACCCAUCCCCUCCCACCCCCUAAAAAUAACGCCAGAGGGCCGUCUGGGUCUCUUAUAAGCGGCGUUUCUCCUCAACGAAUUGCAGAAGAUCAAAAUAAAACAAUGGAUCACUCAAGUCUCCUGUUAGCACAGUGGUCAUCCAUGGAAGCGUUAAAUAAAUGCAGUAUCUGUUCUUUUGAAGCAACAGGCAGGAAUCACAGGCUUUUUCAAUACCAGUACAAUUGCUGUUGUACCCUUUGACUUAACUAUAUGUGGCAAGAACUGCUUAGAUGACUCUAGAUGCAGCAAAUUCUCAGACCCAUAUCUUAAUUAAAUGGGAUUUAUUGCCACAUUGGUGAAGAGUGAUAUGUAGGAAUGCAAUUUCAGCCAAAUCAACAACAAAAGCCAACCAUAAGCAGAACAUCACAGUAACUACAACUUAUAGAUACCUAUUGCCAUCUACAUAUAGUAAAUUAAUUGUGAACUUACAUUGAGAGUUUUAAAGGGCAGAAAAUAAACUUUCAAGGUACUGUAAACACUAUUGCAAAUAAGUUGCCUUUGGUUCUGUUUUUCUGUGAAUAAUGAAGUAAUUCACUCUUUUUAAUAAAAAAUGUAUAAUUGAAUCAUAUGUAGCCAUUGAUCAGAAAGUCUGUUUCUACAGGACAACUAUUAUCAUUCCUCUCUGAUUAAAAAUGAGUAUCAAACAUAAUCCUUAAAUGUAUGAUUCCAUCUUCAGGUAUGAUGGAAAUAGCUAAUUAAGAUGGGUGGAGUCCUUUAUGUUUUCAAUGUCAGCUACUUAAGACUCUUCUCUGGUUUCUGAUUCUGUACUUAUCCAUCAUGCAAAGAAGGAAUUUGAAACUAAAUGCCCUAUUAUUAAAGUGGACACUAAUCCUAAGUGGAUACUAGUAGAUAGGUAUAGUAUAAAAAAGUAAGAAAACUCUUAUUGCAAUAAUGGCGAAUAGCUGUAGCUCAGGUGUAAGAUUAGGGUGAAGGUUCAUUCUCCGAGCUUGUGGGUUGGUUUCCGAAUGUUUCAUUAUCAUACUAGAUAACAUUUUCAGUAGAGUUUAGGGGAUGUCAGUAUUCUUCUGUUUAUAAGGGCUUCGUGUGGUCAGUAGGUCUUGUGAUGGUGAGGUCGUGUCAGAUGAGGGUUCCAUCAGGUCAGGGUCUUGUGAUGAGUCGUGUGUGGGUAUGUCAAGUGAAGUAUCAGGGUUCCAAGUAAUACCUCCAAUGUCAAGCCUCGGCAAGAGCUUGACAAAUAAAGCAACGGGGAGAGCACACGAACCUGAGGGAUCGGCUGAAAGGAAGCACGAAUCCAGGGCACAUGGUCCCAUGGACACGGAUGAUGGUGGUGGCGACUGUGCAACACGGGGAAGGCAGGGGAUCAGCACUGGCAAUGCAGGGCUGUUGGCUGGGGGGACCGACGCUGAGCAAUGACGUCAGAUCCCGGACAGCAAACAGAAGCCAGGCAGCGUCUUUGAAGCAGCUGCUGAACAGCUGUCAAGCCUGAUUGCAAAGGACUGGGGAGGGGUGUGUGGUGAUGGCUAGAAAAAGGCACUGAGGCGGAAGCUCUCAGCGCUGACUUUAAACUAUUGCAGACCGAUUUCGACUAAGAGCCACCUUUUAGCGGAGAAUAAACCGACUUCUAACCAGCAACUAGUGUCUAGCAUGUUUUUCAUCCAGUUCUCACACAGGGCGGUUUAGCAAGCCGAGACCCAAUGAAAGAAGACUCCAAGGCUUGAAAUUCCUCAAAGUUCUAUUUUAUUAGAGAUGUCAUAUUGGCACAUCUGGGAAAACCUGAAUCUGAAAGCUUUCAGGUUUUCCCCACCCAAAGGAAAGUCCAAGUCCCUGCCCAGCACCCACAUGUCCAUCACAUGGUCCAAUCAAAGUACCGUCCCAACCAGAGAUGCCUCCCAGUUCCAGCCCUCUAGGUGCAGGGCACGAUACCUUUGACUCUCUGAGAAAGGGAUGUUGUUAUAACUAUAUAUACUCACUCUAUACAAUCUCCCCACCCAAUUUCCCAUAGUAAAUGUGGCAGGCCUGAAGGCCCAAUGCAAAAGAUGAUUCCCAGGCCUGACAGGAGUGUCUUGUGGCUGGACUUGUGAUGGGUCAGAUGUGAAUCACCAUGUUGUGGUCCAUCAGCAGCCUCCAGAGCUGGCAACUGAGUCAGACAACGAUGAGGCUGAGGUGAGGCCAGAGCCAUCGGGAAGUGAGGUGCGGACUCCAGAGCCUCCAGAGACUGAUAGUAGUGAGGCAGAGGAACAGGAGGAUCCUGUUCCUAAUGCACACAUGAGAAGAGCUGCCAGAAGGCAAGAGCAGUUCAAGCAGAGAGGACAACUCGGGAGUAGGGCCAAGAGAUGAUUGGCCCUGCCCAUAAGGCUUAAAACAGACCAGCAACGGCAUUUCUGCUUUGCCGGAAAACAACGUUGUAGCUGCGUUUUCUGCUCCGUCUUCUGCUUUGUAUACGUCUUUGUUUUUGUGGUUUCUGGAUGUCUGCCAGGAAGGGCCUUUGGCAGUUUGCCUAAUUGGACUAAGGUUUGUGAGAUAAUUGAGGAAUUUGUGUUGGGAGGCAUUUGUUUUACUUUGAGUUGAACGAUGCU